AAUCUUUGAGUGGGUAUAGG
RNAcentral lists this non-coding RNA (20 nucleotides) under Mus musculus (house mouse). The record is from RNAcentral. Lineage: Eukaryota; Metazoa; Chordata; Mammalia; Rodentia; Muridae.